GUGGGCUGUACUAGAAGACGUUGAGCUAACCGAAAGGGGGGCAGGCGUCCACGGUAUGGUUCAUGAUUGGGGUGAAGUCGUAACAAGGUAGCUGUAGGUGAACCUGCAGAAGGAUCA
RNAcentral lists this ribosomal RNA (117 nucleotides) under uncultured eukaryote. RNAcentral describes it as "partial small subunit ribosomal RNA". It matches the Rfam family "Bacterial small subunit ribosomal RNA", at positions 1410 to 1525 of the family's 1533-position model. The record is from RNAcentral.